Molecule: transfer RNA, 72 nt
Filed under: Sphaerodactylus townsendi
Lineage: Eukaryota; Metazoa; Chordata; Lepidosauria; Squamata; Sphaerodactylidae
Description: tRNA-Ala
Rfam family: tRNA
About the family: Transfer RNA (tRNA) molecules are approximately 80 nucleotides in length. Their secondary structure includes four short double-helical elements and three loops (D, anti-codon, and T loops).
Source: RNAcentral
CGGGUUGUGGUUCAGAGAUAAAACAUCUGCUUGGCAUGUAGAAAGUCCCAGGUUCAACCCCUGGCUUCUUAG